UUCAUUUCCACAUGCAAGCUCUUUGGCAGAAGUAACAUCCUCUUCAAAAACAUCAUCAAACACAGAUGAAACAAAGUCUGCUGAUUAUACAAAUGUCAUGUCCAGCAAACCAACGGAGUCUUCCUUCGCUUCCUCACUGUUCAGCAUAGAAACAACUACAAACCCUCCAGCAGAGCUUUUUGAGAGUGUCUACAUAGAAAAGACAAUGAUACCCACAGGUUCUUAUGUUACAGAUAUGCCAGAAAAGUCCCUUACCAUUGCGCAAUUAGAUCAAGAGGGCUCUGGAAGCCAAACCACGCUUGUGUUAAGCUCAACUACUUCUCGCAAAGGUUCAUCUUCAUCUCCAUCUACUUCGGAGGCACCAACAGCUAAAUCACCUGGAAUAACAGAUGGACAUGAAACAUAUAAGACACUUCUGCCAUCUCCUCAAAAGGAACCAUCAGUACCUACAGUCUUUGAUGACACAGCCCCAACUCUACUGACAAGAUCAAGUAGUGCAUCUUCUACACUUGUGGAGUCAUCUUCAUUCCUCACUGGCUCAACAAUUAAACCUUCAAACACAUCUAUCUUAAUCUCCUCAGAGUCAGAGGCUUCAAAACACAGUGUUGAUGGUGCCACAGAUCAGUCAUCAUUGACCACAACUACUGCUUAUUCAACACUCAGUACGAUGUCUUCAUCGCACAUACCUUCUUCAAGUGAAAUGUCAAAACCAACUGUCUACACAGCAUCACCACUUUACAGCACAGAGGAACUUUUGUCAGUAACUUCUGACAAACAACAAGUUUCAGUCACUAGUAGGAUUGAGGGCAUACCUGUAACAGCAAUAGAAGAUUCCUCUUCUUCCAAAGCAUAUCAACAGAGUUUAGAUGAUCAGACAACAGAGAUGUCUACCAACGACACAGCAUCUUCUACAGCUUCUUUUUUGUUCAGCACCAAAAAGACAACAGCAGCUUCAAUUGAGAAAGAUUACGAUCUUGUGUCUGAUGAGACAGCAAUGUCUUCACUAUCUCCUUUCACCAGUAUUGAUGGCAAAUCAACCAUAACCCUUGCAGAACUAGAGGGCUCAGGAAGCGAAAGUCCAAGCACAAUAAGCUCAAGCAUGUCAGUCAGUGAUGCAUCUUCAUUUCCACAUGCAAGCUCUUUGGCAGAAGUAACAUCCUCUUCAAAAACAUCAUCAAACACAGAUGAAACAAAGUCUGCUGAUUAUACAAAUGUCAUGUCCAGCAAACCAACGGAGUCUUCCCUCGCUUCCUCACUGUUCAGCACAGAAACAACUACAAACCCUCCAGCAGAGCUUUUUGAGAGUGUCUACAUAGAAAAGACAAUGAUACCCACAGGUUCUUAUGUUACAGAUAUGUCAGAAAAGCCCCUUACCAUUGCACAAUUAGAUCAAGAGUAUUCAGGAAGCAAAACCACACUUGUGUUGAGCUCAACUCUUUCUCUCAAAGGUUCACCUUCAUCUCCUUAUACUUCGGAGGCACCAACAGCUAAAUCACCUGGAAUAACAGAUGGACAUGAAGCACAUAAGACACUACUGCCGUCUCUUCAAAUGGAACCACCAGUAUCCACAGUCUUUGAUGGCACAGUCCCAACUCUACUGACAAGAUCAACUAUUACAUCUGCCAGUACAGCAACAAUGUUAUCUUCAGAAACAGCAUUACCACCCAUAACCACAGAAGCUAAAAGUUCUGGAUACAGCCCUAGUCAAUCCACUUCUGGGACAACUGUAGCACCUACCACUCCUUCUCCAGUGUUUAUCUUGUUGUCAUCACUUACUGUUCCAACCAAAUCUCAAACAAGACAUAGUUCAACAACACUUGUUCCUACAGCCACAUCAACUUACGGCACAGAUAUUCCCACAUCAGUUUCUUCAGAUAUGGUUCCAAAAAUGCAUGAAGUAGGUUCAACAUCUUUUACAUUUGACACCACAAGAACAACUAGUGACAGCAGUCUAAAACCUAUAAAUACAUUUUUCAAGGGACUUCCGUCUUCCUCUCCCACAUAUUUUCAUUCAUCCUCUGUUUCUAUCCCAGAGAAACCUGGGAACGUUUCUGUUUCCACACAACCUGUUUUGGGUUCAAGUAUAGACACAUUUCAGAGUUUAUUAGCUUCUCACAAUAAUAAUAAGUCCUUGGUAGAUUCAACUACCAAACUGCCUGAAGACAGCACCUGGAACCCAACUCCUGACAUAAUUUCUCAAAUUUCUACAGUCCCAGUAGUGACAGAAGAGGAGGACUAUAAUUACUCAGCAAGCGGUGGGUUGGUUGAAUCCAUAUCUGAUAUAGUGAGCUCAGGAGGUGACAUAUCUGGAGACUUAAAUGAAACUACUACAGAAAUGCAAACACAGUUUAAUGUUCCUUUUGUGUCCCAAUUAAGCCAAAAAAUACAUGGGCCUUAUAUUGGGCUUAAUGAAAUGACCACAAUAUCCCAAAAUGAAUACAUUGUUGCAACAGAUGAGGUUGAAACAAGUGAGGCUGAUAACACAUCAGAUAUGAAAAUGGUAAUCUCAGCCCAAUCAGCACAUCUGACCAGUACUCAAACUUACUUCUCUGCAUCAGGCAGUGGAGAUUUAAUUGAUGCUUCUUCAGAUGAUGAAGUUUCUGGUACCCCCUACAAUCAGCCACCUCCACGUGGACCAGAUACACGUUCAUUCCCAGAUGCUGAUAAGACUGCUGAUUCUGUUGUGCCCCCUGCUUUCAAAACAGGAAGAACAACAACAUCCACAGAGGUCCCCUUAUCAGAUGAUAAUUUUCGGCUUUCAUCUCUCCCGUCUGCAACCUCCCAGCCUUCUGCUUUGGAAUCUGUGACUCCUUCCACUUAUGCAACCAAAAAGCCAACUGAGCUAGCUUUGAGUAACAACAUUCCCUCAGUUGACAUAUUGUCAAUUUAUAAUAAAGAUAUGUUAACCCCCCCACCAGCAAUGAUGGUCAGUUCCACAAUUGGAGCAGUUAAUUUGGAUGAGGAAGCCACAAAAUCACCCUUUAAAACUUCCCAUACCACCGGAAUGGAUGCCAUCAAAACCAGUCAGCCAAAGCAAGAUGACAACCAAUCAGUGUCAAUCCCAUUACCCACCAUUCUAUACCAGAGCAUUAUUGACCAACAAGUUGAGAUUGUUACCUCUAACAGCAAGCAAGUUGAGACUGACCUAAAAAAAGGAACACCUACUAUGGUCCUGAAAAUGUCUCAGCCAUCAAGUAGCACUUCCAUCACAAUAAAAGAGAGAGAUGAACAGUGGUCUAGAGCCAAAGAUGAUAUAAGUCCAGACAGUCCCACACCAGAAAUCAAUGCCAACGAUGAUACAAUCAUUGAUGUAGAUACUCUCUCCAUUGUUACAUCUUCUUUGCUUUACCCAAACGUCCAGACAGAAGAAGCUGCAGGUGUCAUAGCAGUUACAAUGACGCAACCCUUCGACAUAAAGGAAGACCUGGAGGGUUCAGGGACUGCAAGUACUACUACUUUUACUCCUACAUUUGCAGAUUCAGCCACAUAUUCAACCCUAACCAUAGCAUCUCCUAAAUAUGAUUCAACAAAAGCAACCAGUAAAUUAAACAAUGCUAAUGAAUAUUCAACUAGCACGAUCUCAAGUCAACACCUUUCCAUUGAACAAACUUCAAAGGUCAUCUCAACUUCAGUAACGUCAAACGAAAUGGCCCAGUCUCACACAACUGCUUCCCCGACAUACUCUGCAGCAGCUUCCCAAAAGUCAGUUGAGCAUGUGAAGUCAGACACCAUUAAACCACGAAAACCACAGACUGACCAUUCUUUUCACAAUGUAUCAUCAACCACAACCAUAACGUACCCUAAUACAAAUGGCCAAAAACCCAUACAUCCAUAUACUUAUGAUGAUGAUUUGGAUGAUGAUUAUCCAGAUAAUUCGGGGAAAAAAAACAACAUUGUUGAAUCUGUUCCUCAACUCAGUACAACCACAAUGCCAAGUGCAGACAGUAAUGUUUUUGUUACAUCAAAGCCCAUUGCCCAGACCACUGAGAUUCACCCAUCUUUAGACAAUAUUGAAAUUCAGCCUUCAGAAAAAGAUUCAGACAGUAAUGGAACUUCAUCAGUUAGUUCUGAUAGUGAAUUUGGAGAGCAGAUAACAAGCAUACCAAAAAUGGAUGGAAUUAAAGAUGGAAAUCUCUCCCCAGAUAAAAUUCAGACUGUGUUUAAGGUAAAUGCAACAUCAACUUCAAAGACUGUGACUGAUGGACCAUAUCACGCUUCGGACCAAGAAAUUGUGAACAAUAUCAAUGAAAGCAAUAGUGAAACUACCACAAGGACUCAUCAAAAGUUCAUUGCAACAUCAACAGCACAAGCAAAAAACCAUUUGUCGGUUCCAUCUUUAUCCACCACGCGUUCAUCUUCUCAUGAAGAAAGAAAGCAUGAGAACAGUGACUUAAAAACAUCCCCAUCGCUCAAUGGAAUAACACAAUUAAUAGCAGCAGAAGAAACAACCACGUCCAACCCCACAUCACUGAAUCUGGGGCACACAGUUGUUGGCGAGGCUGUUGAAAUUCCUGGUAUGUUUAUUCUAAUAUAUUUUACUGAAUUACUGAAAAACAUAUGUAAUUAUUCUAAGAAUAUGCAUUAA
Long non-coding RNA from Nothobranchius furzeri (turquoise killifish), 4585 nucleotides. Lineage: Eukaryota; Metazoa; Chordata; Actinopteri; Cyprinodontiformes; Nothobranchiidae. The record is from Ensembl.